RNAcentral lists this long non-coding RNA (415 nucleotides) under Homo sapiens (human). RNAcentral describes it as "HSALNT0325000". Lineage: Eukaryota; Metazoa; Chordata; Mammalia; Primates; Hominidae. The record is from RNAcentral.
UGAACACAGGCUCCCACCUUCAACUUAUCACUUCCUUACCUUUGCUGGGGUACCUGAUGACUUUAAAGAGACUGUUUCUUUGGAGAAGGUGGAAUACGCUUAAAGAUUGGUCUUGCCUUUAAAACACCAUUUUAAAAGAGACCAUUUGUUAGUGCCUGAAAUCUGUAACUGGCUUAAAAGCUCUGUCAGCUGGAAAGGAACCUGUCAGUGUGAUAAUGGAAAAGAAGAAGAUACAUCAGAGAGAGGAUUUGCAAGUUAGAAAGCAUCAUUUUCGACUGGCCCUUCUCUGUUCUCCCACCAGCUCUUCUGAGGAUUAAAGGAGGUAACUUAAGAAGAAGAGUUAAUGAGAAAAUGUCCAGUCUGAAGGAAAAAAGUGUAAGAAAUGAUUCCCAAAUGUGAACACAUAGAAACCAUA